This 73-nucleotide transfer RNA is filed under the name Phrynosoma platyrhinos (Desert horned lizard). Its description in RNAcentral is "tRNA-OTHER". It matches the Rfam family "tRNA". From Rfam's summary of the family: Transfer RNA (tRNA) molecules are approximately 80 nucleotides in length. Their secondary structure includes four short double-helical elements and three loops (D, anti-codon, and T loops). Lineage: Eukaryota; Metazoa; Chordata; Lepidosauria; Squamata; Phrynosomatidae. The record is from RNAcentral.
GGCCAGUGUGACAUAGUGGUUUGAGUGUUGGACUGCAAAUCUGAAGACCAGGAUUCAAUUCCCUUCUUGGCCA